AACGAACGCUGGCGGCGUGCCUAAUACAUGCAAGUUGAGCGGUAACACAUUGUGCUUGUGCCCUCUGGGUGAGCGGCUGACGGGUGAGUAACGCGUGGAUCGGCUUCUUUUUAUCGGGGGACAACAAUGUGGGGCGACUGCUACUACCACAUCAUACCUCUAACCACAGGUAUCAAGUUUUCAACAUGCAAUUCCCUCACUCAAGAAUGAUCCGCCGUUGUCUUAGCUAGUUGGCGGGGUAAAGGCCCACCAAGGCGACGAUACGUAGCUGGUCUGAGAGGAUGAUCAGCCACACUGGAACUGAGACACGGUCCAGACUCCUACGGGAGGCAGCAGUGGGGAAUAUUGGACAAUGGGCGCAAGCCUGAUCCAGCCAGACCGCGUGGGUGAAGAAGGCCUUCGGGUUGUAAAGCCCUUUUGUUGGGAAAGAAAAGCAGCAGGUUAAUACCCCGCUGUUCUGACGGUACCCAAAGAAUAAGCACCGGCUAACUUCGUG
Molecule: ribosomal RNA, 496 nt
Filed under: uncultured bacterium
Lineage: Bacteria
Description: partial 16S ribosomal RNA
Rfam family: Bacterial small subunit ribosomal RNA
Source: RNAcentral